This 405-nucleotide unclassified non-coding RNA is filed under the name soil metagenome. RNAcentral describes it as "partial contains 5.8S ribosomal RNA, internal transcribed spacer 2, and large subunit ribosomal RNA". The stretch from base 1 to 120 matches the Rfam family "5.8S ribosomal RNA", at positions 35 to 154 of the family's 154-position model. The record is from RNAcentral.
GAUGAAGAACGUAGCGAAAUGCGAUAAGUAAUGUGAAUUGCAGAAUUCAGUGAAUCAUCGAAUCUUUGAACGCACCUUGCGCCCUUUGGACUUCUGAAGGGCAUGCCUGUUUGAGUAUCAUGAACACCUCAACUCUCAUGGCUUGCCAUGAAGAGCUUGGACUAUGGGGGUCUUGCUGGCCUGUGGUCGGCUCCUCUCAAAUGAAUCAGCUUGCCGGUGUUUGGUGGCGUCACAGGUGUGAUAACUAUCUACGCUUGUGGUGUUUUCCACCAGGUAACCUUCAGCAAUGGAGGUUCGCUGGGGCUCAUAAAAGUCUCUCCUCGGUGAGGACAGCUCUUUUUGAACGUUUGAUCUCAAAUCAGGUAGGACUACCCGCUGAACUUAAGCAUAUCAAUAAGCGGAGGA